CAAAGAAUUCUCUUUUUGGGCU
RNAcentral lists this microRNA (22 nucleotides) under Microcebus murinus (gray mouse lemur). Its description in RNAcentral is "mmr-miR-186". Its record names the gene mmr-miR-186. The record is from miRBase by way of RNAcentral. Lineage: Eukaryota; Metazoa; Chordata; Mammalia; Primates; Cheirogaleidae.